Molecule: ribosomal RNA, 497 nt
Filed under: uncultured bacterium
Lineage: Bacteria
Description: partial 16S ribosomal RNA
Rfam family: Bacterial small subunit ribosomal RNA
Source: RNAcentral
GAUGAACGCUGGCGGCGUGCCUAAUACAUGCAAGUCGAGCGAACAGACGAGGAGCUUGCUUCUCUGACGUUAGCGGCGGACGGGUGAGUAACACGUGGAUAACCUACCUAUAAGACUGGGAUAACUUCGGGAAACCGGAGCUAAUACCGGAUAAUAUAUUGAACCGCAUGGUUCAAUAGUGAAAGACGGUUUUGCUGUCACUUAUAGAUGGAUCCGCGCCGCAUUAGCUAGUUGGUAAGGUAACGGCUUACCAAGGCAACGAUGCGUAGCCGACCUGAGAGGGUGAUCGGCCACACUGGAACUGAGACACGGUCCAGACUCCUAAGGGAGGCAGCAGUAGGGAAUCUUCCGCAAUGGGCGAAAGCCUGACGGAGCAACGCCGCGUGAGUGAUGAAGGUCUUCGGAUCGUAAAACUCUGUUAUUAGGGAAGAACAAAUGUGUAAGUAACUAUGCACGUCUUGACGGUACCUAAUCAGAAAGCCACGGCUAACUACGUG